This 254-nucleotide ribosomal RNA is filed under the name uncultured bacterium. Its description in RNAcentral is "partial 16S ribosomal RNA". It matches the Rfam family "Bacterial small subunit ribosomal RNA", at positions 524 to 776 of the family's 1533-position model. The record is from RNAcentral.
UACGGAGGGUGCAAGCGUUGUUCGGAAUUAUUGGGCGUAAAGCGCGCGCAGGCGGCCUUUCAAGUCCACGGGUGAAAUGCCGGGGCUCAACCCCGAGCACGCCCAGGAUACUGGGAGGCUGGAGACACGUAGAGGCAAGCGGAAUUCCGGGUGUAGCGGUGGAAUGCGUAGAGAUCCGGAAGAACACCGGAGGCGAAGGCGGCUUGCUGGGCGUGAUCUGACGCUGAGGCGCGAAAGCGUGGGGAGCGAACAGG